AGCAGCCGCGGUAAUUCCAGCUCCAAUAGCGUAUAUUAAAGUUGCUGCAGUUAAAAGCUCGUAGUUGAAUUUCGGGAUUAUCAUGUCGGUCGUGUCUCGGUACGUACUGGCAUUGUUGGUUUCUACCUUCUGACGAACCAUGAUGUCAUUUAUUUGGUGUUAUGGGAAAUCAGGACUGUUACUUUGAAAAAAUUAGAGUGUUCAAAGCAGGCCUUUGCUCGAAUACGUUAGCAUGGAAUAAUAGAAUAGGACGUGCGGUCCUAUUUUGUUGGUUUCUAGGACCGCCGUAAUGAUUAAUAGGGACAGUCGGGGGCAUCAGUAUUCAAUUGUCAGAGGUGAAAUUCUUGGAUUUAUUGAAGACUAACUACUGCGAAAGCAUUUGCCAAAGGAUGUUUUCAUUAAUCAGUGAACGAAAGUUAGGGGAUCGAAGACGAUCAGAUACCGUCGUAGUCUUAACCAUAAACUAUGCCGACUAGGGAUCGGGCGGUGUUAUUAUUUUGACUCGCUCGGCACCUUACGAGAAACCAAAGUGUUUGGGUU
RNAcentral lists this ribosomal RNA (540 nucleotides) under uncultured Glomeromycotina. RNAcentral describes it as "SSU rRNA". It matches the Rfam family "Eukaryotic small subunit ribosomal RNA", at positions 569 to 1113 of the family's 1831-position model. Lineage: Eukaryota; Fungi; Glomeromycota. The record is from RNAcentral.